Phrynosoma platyrhinos (Desert horned lizard) is the source of this 72-nucleotide non-coding RNA. Lineage: Eukaryota; Metazoa; Chordata; Lepidosauria; Squamata; Phrynosomatidae. The record is from the annotation of a GenBank genome assembly.
GGCAGCAUGGCAUAGUGGUGCGAGUGUUGGGCUACGACUCUGGAGACCAGGGUUCAAUUCCCGGCUCAACCA